This 376-nucleotide unclassified non-coding RNA is filed under the name uncultured Gaiellales bacterium. RNAcentral describes it as "contains 16S-23S intergenic spacer region". Lineage: Bacteria; Bacillati; Actinomycetota; Thermoleophilia; Gaiellales. The record is from RNAcentral.
UCCGGUUUGUCACCGGCAGUCUCCCAUGAGUCCCCGACAUUACUCGCUGGCAACAUAGGACAGGGGUUGCGCUCGUUGCGGGACUUAACCCAACAUCUCACGGCACGAGCUGACGACAGCCAUGCAGCACCUGUGCUAGCCCCUUACGGACACGGGCUUUCACCCGCUUUAACUAGCAUGUCAAGCCUAGGUAAGGUUCUUCGCGUCGCAUCGAAUUAAACAACAUGCUCCGCUGCUUGUGCGGGUCCCCGUCAAUUCCUUUGAGUUUUAGCCUUGCGGCCGUACUCCCCAGGCGGGGUGCUUAAUGCGUUAGCUUCGGCACGGACGGAGUCGACACCGCCCACACCUAGCACCCAUCGUUUACGGCGUGGACUAC